GUUCAGCCCAUAACACUCUGCUUGAUGCAGCCCAGCACGGUUUUGAUAACCACAGAGAAUAACUUUCAGGAUAUAUUAUUUACGCAUGGGUCUGUGCUAAUGCACCAGGCUGGGUGUGAGGCCUCCGGGACUUUGAAACAAGCCGAGUGGAACACAUUGCAUUUAUGCAGUCCUCCCUGGCUGGCUGGAAAUGUUAGCCGUGCAGGGUACCCUAGAGCGGACCCAGGACAACACGCCCUACAUGGAGCCAAGGAAACGGAGCUAGCGCCAAGGACCCACAAGUCAGAGCCCUGCAAGAUCAGAGAAAGCUCGCUGCCCUCGUGUGAACCUCCCAGAGAGGCCCGUCAAGGUCCCAAACAGCUGCUGCCAUUCAAGGAGCUUCACUGACGUCCACGUGGGUGGCAGGUUAGCACGUGGUCCUCACCCGCCCUUGGACGAGCCCUGGCUGUUGGCUGUCUGGGACACGGACUUGGCUUCACAUGCUUGCCGUGAGAGUGCUGAUGGUUCCGGCUCGCGGCAGUCACGGCCGGUGUGCCCAGCCCCAGGUGCUGUGUGUUCCUGCCUCAAGACAGCAGGUCUGACAGGCACCAGGACUGCCCAGAGACGGAAAAGAUGGAGAAACACAACAAGGUCCUCAAUGUGACCAGCUGGCACUUGCAUCAGUGUUGAAAAUUUCAAACAGUGACACAAGUUAGGACUGUGAGGGGCAAUAUUUUUGUUUGGUAAUGUCAGAUUUUGGGUCACAUAUGAACAAUAGUUAUUUCUUUUCAGAUUAUUACUGACAAUAGUUUUGUCUUACAGAGGAGACGAGUGUUAACAAUGGUCAGCUCUGGUGUAAAUCUGCCGGGUCAGCUCCACUGGGCCUUUUUGGGUUUUUCUGUGUACAGUUGUCCUAAAC
Molecule: long non-coding RNA, 898 nt
Organism: Equus quagga
Lineage: Eukaryota; Metazoa; Chordata; Mammalia; Perissodactyla; Equidae
Exons: 4
Source: RefSeq, a predicted model, not a curated record